ACCUGAAGCCCCCAGGUUUACUGACCCAUUUCCAUUCUCGCGGCUGCCGGUCUCCUAGCAACGGCAACAGUCCCCCCAGAACAGGCGGAGAAAUACAACAGCAAAACAGAACCCUCUCUACCUCCACCCUGACCUCUCAGAGAACAUGAGAACCAGACCCAAAAAGUGAGAAAGAAGCAAGGCAGGUCAGGGUACCCGACGCCCCAAGCUCCUGGUGCCAGGAGCCCGUGCCCCCGAGGUGCCGGCCUCCAUGGGAACGGGGGCGCCUGGCC
RNAcentral lists this long non-coding RNA (272 nucleotides) under Vombatus ursinus (common wombat). RNAcentral's name for it is "lncRNA (ENSVURG00010007317.1)". The record is from RNAcentral. Lineage: Eukaryota; Metazoa; Chordata; Mammalia; Diprotodontia; Vombatidae.